RNAcentral lists this ribosomal RNA (447 nucleotides) under uncultured organism. RNAcentral's name for it is "partial 16S ribosomal RNA". It matches the Rfam family "Bacterial small subunit ribosomal RNA", at positions 332 to 796 of the family's 1533-position model. The record is from RNAcentral.
UACACUCCUACGGGAGGCAGCAGUGGGGAAUAUUGGCCAAUGGGCGCAAGCCUGAUCCAGCCAUGCCGCGUGAGUGAUGAAGGCCCUAGGGUUGUAAAGCUCUUUCACCGGUGAAGAUAAUGACGGUAACCGGAGAAGAAGCCCCGGCUAACUUCGUGCCAGCAGCCGCGGUAAUACGAAGGGGGCUAGCGUUGUUCGGAUUUACUGGGCGUAAAGCGCACGUAGGCGGACUAUUAAGUCAGGGGUGAAAUCCCGGGGCUCAACCCCGGAACUGCCUUUGAUACUGGUAGUCUUGAGUUCGAGAGAGGUGAGUGGAAUUCCGAGUGUAGAGGUGAAAUUCGUAGAUAUUCGGAGGAACACCAGUGGCGAAGGCGGCUCACUGGCUCGAUACUGACGCUGAGGUGCGAAAGCGUGGGGAGCAAACAGGAUUAGAAACCCUAGUAGUCC